UGCCUCCUACGGGGCGCAGCAGUGGGGGAUAUUGCACAAUGGGGGAAACCCUGAUGCAGCGACGCCGCGUGGGUGAAGAAGCGCCUCGGCGCGUAAAGCCCUGUCAGCAGGGAAGAAAAUGACGGUACCUGAAGAAGAAGCCCCGGAUAACUACGAGCCAGCAGCAGCGGUAAUACGUAGGGGGCAAGCGUUAUCCGGAUUUACUGGGUGUAAAGGGGGCGCAGACGGAGAUGCAAGCCAGGAUCGAAAGCCCGGGGCCCAACCCCG
RNAcentral lists this ribosomal RNA (267 nucleotides) under uncultured bacterium. RNAcentral describes it as "partial 16S ribosomal RNA". It matches the Rfam family "Bacterial small subunit ribosomal RNA", at positions 333 to 617 of the family's 1533-position model. The record is from RNAcentral.